RNAcentral lists this ribosomal RNA (2894 nucleotides) under Serratia marcescens. Its description in RNAcentral is "bacterial LSU rRNA". It matches the Rfam family "Bacterial large subunit ribosomal RNA". Lineage: Bacteria; Pseudomonadati; Pseudomonadota; Gammaproteobacteria; Enterobacterales; Yersiniaceae. The record is from RNAcentral.
UUAAGUGACUAAGCGUACACGGUGGAUGCCUAGGCAGUCAGAGGCGAUGAAGGGCGUGCUAAUCUGCGAAAAGCGUCGGUAAGGUGAUAUGAACCGUUACAACCGGCGAUACCCGAAUGGGGAAACCCAGUGUGUUUCGACACACUAUCAUGUCAUGAAUACAUAGUGGCAUGAGGCGAACCGGGGGAACUGAAACAUCUAAGUACCCCGAGGAAAAGAAAUCAACCGAGAUUCCCCCAGUAGCGGCGAGCGAACGGGGAGGAGCCCAGAACCUGAAUCGGCUUGUGUGUUAGUGGAAGCGUCUGGAAAGUCGCGCAGCAAAGGGUGAUAGCCCCGUACACUAAAAUGCACAGGUCGUGAGUUCGAUGAGUAGGGCGGGACACGUGACAUCCUGUCUGAAUAUGGGGGGACCAUCCUCCAAGGCUAAAUACUCCUGACUGACCGAUAGUGAACCAGUACCGUGAGGGAAAGGCGAAAAGAACCCCGGCGAGGGGAGUGAAAUAGAACCUGAAACCGUGUACGUACAAGCAGUGGGAGCACCUUCGUGGUGUGACUGCGUACCUUUUGUAUAAUGGGUCAGCGACUUAUAUUUUGUAGCAAGGUUAACCGUAUAGGGGAGCCGUAGGGAAACCGAGUCUUAACUGGGCGUCUAGUUGCAAGGUAUAGACCCGAAACCCGGUGAUCUAGCCAUGGGCAGGUUGAAGGUUGGGUAACACUAACUGGAGGACCGAACCGACUAAUGUUGAAAAAUUAGCGGAUGACUUGUGGCUGGGGGUGAAAGGCCAAUCAAACCGGGAGAUAGCUGGUUCUCCCCGAAAGCUAUUUAGGUAGCGCCUCGUGAACUCAUCUUCGGGGGUAGAGCACUGUUUCGGCUAGGGGGCCAUCCCGGCUUACCAAACCGAUGCAAACUCCGAAUACCGAAGAAUGUUAUCACGGGAGACACACGGCGGGUGCUAACGUCCGUCGUGAAGAGGGAAACAACCCAGACCGCCAGCUAAGGUCCCAAAGUCAUGGUUAAGUGGGAAACGAUGUGGGAAGGCAUAGACAGCCAGGAUGUUGGCUUAGAAGCAGCCAUCAUUUAAAGAAAGCGUAAUAGCUCACUGGUCGAGUCGGCCUGCGCGGAAGAUGUAACGGGGCUAAACCAUGCACCGAAGCUGCGGCAGCGACGCUUAGGCGUUGUUGGGUAGGGGAGCGUUCUGUAAGCCGUUGAAGGUGGCCUGUGAGGGUUGCUGGAGGUAUCAGAAGUGCGAAUGCUGACAUAAGUAACGAUAAAGCGGGUGAAAAGCCCGCUCGCCGGAAGACCAAGGGUUCCUGUCCAACGUUAAUCGGGGCAGGGUGAGUCGACCCCUAAGGCGAGGCUGAAAAGCGUAGUCGAUGGGAAACAGGUUAAUAUUCCUGUACUUGGUGUUACUGCGAAGGGGGGACGGAGAAGGCUAGGCUAGCCGGGCGACGGUUGUCCCGGUUUAAGCGUGUAGGGGGUGUGACCUGGUAAAUCCGGUUGCAUAUCAACCCUGAGGCGUGAUGACGAUGCACUACGGUGCAGAAGUAGUUGAUGCCCUGCUUCCAGGAAAAUCCUCUAAGCUCCAGGUAACAUUAAAUCGUACCCCAAACCGACACAGGUGGUCAGGUAGAGAAUACCAAGGCGCUUGAGAGAACUCGGGUGAAGGAACUAGGCAAAAUGGUGCCGUAACUUCGGGAGAAGGCACGCUGGCAUGUAGGUGAAGUCCCUUGCGGAUGGAGCUGAAGCCAGUCGAAGAUACCAGCUGGCUGCAACUGUUUAAUAAAAACACAGCACUGUGCAAACACGAAAGUGGACGUAUACGGUGUGACGCCUGCCCGGUGCUGGAAGGUUAAUUGAUGGGGUCAGCCGCAAGGCGAAGCUCUUGAUCGAAGCCCCAGUAAACGGCGGCCGUAACUAUAACGGUCCUAAGGUAGCGAAAUUCCUUGUCGGGUAAGUUCCGACCUGCACGAAUGGCGUAAUGAUGGCCAGGCUGUCUCCACCCGAGACUCAGUGAAAUUGAACUCGCUGUGAAGAUGCAGUGUACCCGCGGCAAGACGGAAAGACCCCGUGAACCUUUACUAUAGCUUGACACUGAACAUUGAGCCUUGAUGUGUAGGAUAGGUGGGAGGCUUUGAAGCGUGGACGCCAGUCUGCGUGGAGCCAUCCUUGAAAUACCACCCUUUAAUGUUUGAUGUUCUAACUCNGGGGUGAGGACAGUGUCUGGUGGGUAGUUUGACUGGGGCGGUCUCCUCCCAAAGAGUAACGGAGGAGCACGAAGGUUAGCUAAUCACGGUCGGACAUCGUGAGGUUAGUGCAAAGGCAUAAGCUAGCUUGACUGCGAGAGUGACGGCUCGAGCAGGUACGAAAGUAGGUCUUAGUGAUCCGGUGGUUCUGAAUGGAAGGGCCAUCGCUCAACGGAUAAAAGGUACUCCGGGGAUAACAGGCUGAUACCGCCCAAGAGUUCAUAUCGACGGCGGUGUUUGGCACCUCGAUGUCGGCUCAUCACAUCCUGGGGCUGAAGUAGGUCCCAAGGGUAUGGCUGUUCGCCAUUUAAAGUGGUACGCGAGCUGGGUUUAGAACGUCGUGAGACAGUUCGGUCCCUAUCUGCCGUGGGCGUUGGAAGAUUGAGAGGGGUUGCUCCUAGUACGAGAGGACCGGAGUGAACGCACCACUGGUGUUCGGGUUGUCAUGCCAAUGGCAUUGCCCGGUAGCUAAGUGCGGAAAAGAUAAGCGCUGAAAGCAUCUAAGCGCGAAACUUGCCUCAAGAUGAGUCUUCCCUGGGCCUUUAAGGCCCCUGAAGGAACGUUUAAGACUAAGACGUUGAUAGGCUGGGUGUGUAAGUGCAGCGAUGCAUUGAGCUAACCAGUACUAAUGAUCCGUGAGGCUUAACCUU